CCUUACACAUGCAAGUCGAACGGCAUCGGGGGAGCUUGCUCCUGCCGGCGAGUGGCGAACGGGUGAGUAAUACAUCGGAACGUACCCAGUAGCGGGGGAUAGCCCGGCGAAAGCCGGAUUAAUACCGCAUACGCCCUAAGGGGGAAAGGGGGGGAUCGCAAGACCUCUCACUAUUGGAGCGGCCGAUGGCUGAUUAGCUAGUUGCUGGGGUAAAGGCCUACCAAGGCAACGAUCAGUAGCUGGUCUGAGAGGACGACCAGCCACACUGGGACUGAGACACGGCCCAGACUCCUACGGGAGGCAGCAGUGGGGAAUUUUGGACAAUGGGCGAAAGCCUGAUCCAGCAAUGCCGCGUGUGCGAAGAAGGCCUUCGGGUUGUAAAGCACUUUUGUCAGGGAAGAAAUCGUUCGGGCCAAUACCCCGGGCAGUUGACGGUACCUGGAGAAUAAGCACCGGCUAACUACGUGCCAGCAGCCGCGGUAAUACGUAGGGUGCAAGCGUUAAUCGGAAUUACUGGGCGUUAAAGCGUGCGCAGGUGGUUCGUUAAGACAGUUGUGAAAUCCCCGGGCUUAACCUGGGAACUGCAAUUGUGACUGGCGGACUAGAGUUUGGCAGAGGGGGUGGAAUUCCUGGUGUA
This 637-nucleotide ribosomal RNA is filed under the name uncultured bacterium. RNAcentral describes it as "bacterial SSU rRNA". It matches the Rfam family "Bacterial small subunit ribosomal RNA", at positions 47 to 677 of the family's 1533-position model. The record is from RNAcentral.